RNAcentral lists this ribosomal RNA (140 nucleotides) under Agrocybe praecox. RNAcentral's name for it is "partial 25S large subunit ribosomal RNA". It matches the Rfam family "Eukaryotic large subunit ribosomal RNA", at positions 2456 to 2599 of the family's 3401-position model. Lineage: Eukaryota; Fungi; Basidiomycota; Agaricomycetes; Agaricales; Agrocybaceae. The record is from RNAcentral.
GGGUGUAGAAUAAGUGGGAGCUUCGGCGCCGUUGAAAUACCACUACCUUUAUUGUCUUUUUACUUAUUCAAUGAGGCGGANCUGGGAUUAACAGUCCCACCUUUUGGCUUCAAGGUCUUUUACAGGCCGAUCCGGGUUGA